GGAACCCUGUCCUGUGCUGCAUAAAGAUUUCAUACGUUUUCUUUUGACUAUUCCCAGGCACAUAAUUUGUCAUUAAAAUUAGCUCCUAUUUUUUUGUUGGUUUUAUCUUUUUCAUUUCUAGUUAAUGAUUCAGCCCAAUCCAAAGAAAAUAAGAAGAAAAAAGCCUUCUUGCUUUUGAAAAGAUACUUAGCAAUACAUGUAGCAGCUACCUUGACAGAAACGUAACACAGUGUUGCAAAAUAUUUUCCACCAACAUAGAAAGCUAAUAAAUCAUAAAGCAGGAAAUAAAUUCAAACAUUACAUUGGAC
Molecule: unclassified non-coding RNA, 308 nt
Filed under: Hevea brasiliensis (rubber tree)
Lineage: Eukaryota; Viridiplantae; Streptophyta; Magnoliopsida; Malpighiales; Euphorbiaceae
Source: RNAcentral